This 430-nucleotide ribosomal RNA is filed under the name uncultured bacterium. RNAcentral describes it as "bacterial SSU rRNA". It matches the Rfam family "Bacterial small subunit ribosomal RNA", at positions 958 to 1392 of the family's 1533-position model. The record is from RNAcentral.
AACGCGAAGAACCUUACCAAGGCUUGACAUAUAGCGAAAAGUGGCAGAGAUGUCAUGUCCGCAAGGGCGCUAUACAGGUGGUGCAUGGUUGUCGUCAGCUCGUGUCGUGAGAUGUUGGGUUAAGUCCCGCAACGAGCGCAACCCUCGUUCUGUGUUACCAGCAUUCAGUUGGGGACUCACAGGAGACUGCCGGGGUCAACUCGGAGGAAGGUGGGGAUGACGUCAAAUCAUCAUGCCCCUUUGUCUUGGGCUGCACGCAUGCUACAAUGGCCGGUACAAAGUGCUGCGAGAUCGUAAGAUUGAGCGAAUCACAUAAAGCCGGUCUCAGUUCGGAUUGAGGUCUGCAACUCGACCUCAUGAAGUCGGAGUUGCUAGUAAUCGUAGAUCAGCAACGCUACGGUGAAUACGUUCCCGGGUCUUGUACACACCG